RNAcentral lists this non-coding RNA (45 nucleotides) under Schistosoma margrebowiei. Lineage: Eukaryota; Metazoa; Platyhelminthes; Trematoda; Strigeidida; Schistosomatidae. The record is from RNAcentral.
AUCUAGCUGAGGAGUCCCAAUUAGGCCGAAACGCGCAUCCUGGAU